GAAACAAUACUGUUUUGUGGCUAGCAGCGAAUUAAGGAAUUUUCAUUAAUGGCAAGUGCAUAAGGAAAGUCAUGGACUGUGCCACAUUUCAUGAAAGAACAGGGAAGAAUGAGUCCUGGGGAGCAGAACUCUUACUGCCCUGAGCACAGUGAUUAACAGCAAACCAAAUAGAUGUCAUCUGUGAUGACAUCUGCUGAUGGUCCUUCAAGCAAAUGAAUGAAAGAAGUCCUGCUGAACUUACAAGUUACAUACAGGAAGAAAUUUGGGAAGACUCUUUCCAUUCCAAAGAUGAAUGUUAUUGUCCUCAUUAAGAUAGAAACACUUUUUGGAUCCUAGUCUUCUCCAGAACCUUUCUCCCAUUGGAACACAAGCCUUUUGAAGGUAAAAGUCAUGUUUGUCUGUUCCAUUACUACCCUUAUACUUAUACCAGAGCUUUACACCUAAUUGGUGCUUAAUAAUUUUUAUCAUUUAACAGCAUUUAAUAUAUAAAUAUUUAAUACUAUUUGUUGAAUGAAUAAAGGAAUAAAUUAACUUCCACCCUUGUGAAACACAGCUCAACUGCAUCUUGAAAUUGC
Molecule: long non-coding RNA, 575 nt
Organism: Cercocebus atys (sooty mangabey)
Lineage: Eukaryota; Metazoa; Chordata; Mammalia; Primates; Cercopithecidae
Exons: 3
Source: RefSeq, a predicted model, not a curated record